Molecule: small nuclear RNA, 159 nt
Organism: Callithrix jacchus (white-tufted-ear marmoset)
Lineage: Eukaryota; Metazoa; Chordata; Mammalia; Primates; Cebidae
Gene: U1
Rfam family: U1 spliceosomal RNA
About the family: U1 is a small nuclear RNA (snRNA) component of the spliceosome (involved in pre-mRNA splicing). Its 5' end forms complementary base pairs with the 5' splice junction, thus defining the 5' donor site of an intron.
Source: Ensembl
AUACUUACCUGGCAGGGGAGAUACCAUGAUCACGAAGGUGGUUUUCCCAGGGCGAGGCUUAUCCAUUGCACUCCGGAUGUGCUGACCCCUGAGAUUUCCCCAAAUGUGGGAAACUCGACUGCAUAAUUUGUGGUAGUGGGGGACUGCGUUCGCGCUUAA